GAUGAACGCUGGCGGCGUGCCUAAUACAUGCAAGUCGAGCGAACGGACGAGAAGCUUGCUUCUCUGAUGUUAGCGGCGGACGGGUGAGUAACACGUGGAUAACCUACCUAUAAGACUGGGAUAACUUCGGGAAACCGUAGCUAAUACCGGAUAAUAUUUUGAACCGCAUGGUUCAAAAGUGAAAGACGGCCUUGCUGUCACUUAUAGAUGGAUCCGCGCUGCAUUAGCUAGUUGGUAAGGUAACGGCUUACCUAGGCAACGAUGCAUAGCCGACCUGAGAGGGUGAUCGGCCACACUGGAACUGAGACACGGUCCAGACUCCUACGGGAGGCAGCAGUAGGGAAUCUUCCGCAAUGGGCGAAAGCCUGACGGAGCAACGCCGCGUGAGUGAUGAAGGUCUUCGGAUCGUAAAACUCUGUUAUUAGGGAAGAACAUAUGUGUAAGUAACUGUGCACAUCUUGACGGUACCUAAUCAGAAAGCCACGGCUAACUACGUG
This 497-nucleotide ribosomal RNA is filed under the name uncultured bacterium. RNAcentral describes it as "partial 16S ribosomal RNA". It matches the Rfam family "Bacterial small subunit ribosomal RNA", at positions 28 to 507 of the family's 1533-position model. The record is from RNAcentral.